This 448-nucleotide ribosomal RNA is filed under the name uncultured bacterium. Its description in RNAcentral is "bacterial SSU rRNA". It matches the Rfam family "Bacterial small subunit ribosomal RNA", at positions 43 to 507 of the family's 1533-position model. The record is from RNAcentral.
CGUGCCUAACACAUGCAAGUCGAACGGAGUUUAAGACUUCGGUUUUAACUUAGUGGCGAACGGGUGAGUAACGCGUGAGAAACCUGCCUUUUAGUGGGGGACAACAGUUGGAAACGACUGCUAAUACCGCAUAAUGUCAUUUGGGGGCAUCCCCGAAUGACCAAAGAUUUAUUGCUGAAAGAUGGCUUCGCGUCUGAUUAGCUAGUUGGUGAGGUAACGGCUCACCAAGGCGACGAUCAGUAGCCGGUCUGAGAGGAUGAACGGCCACAUUGGGACUGAGAUACGGCCCAGACUCCUACGGGAGGCAGCAGUGGGGAAUAUUGGGCAAUGGGGGAAACCCUGACCCAGCAACGCCGCGUGAAGGAAGAAGGCCUUCGGGUUGUAAACUUCUUUUAGUAGGGACGAAUACAUGACGGUACCUACAGAAAAAGCAACGGCUAACUACGUG